Molecule: ribosomal RNA, 253 nt
Filed under: uncultured bacterium
Lineage: Bacteria
Description: partial 16S ribosomal RNA
Rfam family: Bacterial small subunit ribosomal RNA
Source: RNAcentral
UACGGAGGGUGCAAGCGUUAUCCGGAUUCACUGGGUUUAAAGGGUGCGUAGGUGGGCUGUUAAGUCAGUGGUGAAAUCUCCGGGCUCAACUCGGAAACUGCCAUUGAUACUAUCAGUCUUGAAUAUCGUGGAGGUAAGCGGAAUAUGUCAUGUAGCGGUGAAAUGCUUAGAUAUGACAUAGAACACCAAUUGCGAAGGCAGCUUGCUACCCGAAUAUUGACACUGAGGCACGAAAGCGUGGGGAUCAAACAGG